CUAGCCGUAAACGAUGGGUACUAGGUGUGGGAGGUAUCGACCCCUUCCGUGCCGGAGUUAACGCAAUAAGUACCCCGCCUGGGGACUACGAUCGCAAGAUUGAAACUCAAAGGAAUUGACGGGGGCCCGCACAAGCGGUGGAGUAUGUGGUUUAAUUCGACGCAACGCGAAGAACCUUACCAAGGCUUGACAUUGAGUGAAAGGCUAAGAGAUUAGCCCCUCUCUUCGGAGACACGAAAACAGGUGG
Molecule: ribosomal RNA, 247 nt
Filed under: uncultured bacterium
Lineage: Bacteria
Description: partial 16S ribosomal RNA
Rfam family: Bacterial small subunit ribosomal RNA
Source: RNAcentral